This 253-nucleotide ribosomal RNA is filed under the name uncultured bacterium. RNAcentral describes it as "partial 16S ribosomal RNA". It matches the Rfam family "Bacterial small subunit ribosomal RNA", at positions 524 to 776 of the family's 1533-position model. The record is from RNAcentral.
UACGGAGGGUGCAAGCGUUAUCCGGAUUCACUGGGUUUAAAGGGUGCGUAGGUGGGCUGGUAAGUCAGUGGUGAAAUCUCCGGGCUUAACUCGGAAACUGCCGUUGAUACUAUCAGUCUUGAAUGUUGUGGAGGUAAGCGGAAUAUGUCAUGUAGCGGUGAAAUGCUUAGAUAUGACAUAGAACACCGAUAGCGAAGGCAGCUUGCUACACAAUAAUUGACACUGAGGCACGAAAGCGUGGGGAUCAAACAGG